Long non-coding RNA from Cyprinus carpio (common carp), 345 nucleotides. RefSeq lists it as uncharacterized. Lineage: Eukaryota; Metazoa; Chordata; Actinopteri; Cypriniformes; Cyprinidae. The record is from RefSeq and is a predicted model, not a curated record. The transcript has 3 exons.
GUGUAUGUUUGCACCAUUUAUAGAAGCUGUACAGAAAAUGCUGGAUCAAGCAGAGAGUCAGCUGGAAAAUGGUGGUCCUUGGAAAAACCCUGAUGCCCCAAAGGAUUUUGGAACUGAAAAGGACAAGGCAAACUGCCCCUUCUUUCUUAAAACGGGUGCUUGUAGGUUUGGAGACCGGUGCUCCCGAAAGCAUGAGCACCUAACAUCCAGCACCACUCUGAUGGUGAGGGGAUGUUUGUGACAUUGGGAUGGAGCAGAGCAGACGGGAUGACUACGACACUGAUGCCAGUCUGGAGUACAGCGAGGAGGAAAUGCACCAGCAGUUCCUGGAUUUCUAUGAAGAUG